This 496-nucleotide ribosomal RNA is filed under the name uncultured bacterium. RNAcentral describes it as "partial 16S ribosomal RNA". It matches the Rfam family "Bacterial small subunit ribosomal RNA", at positions 29 to 507 of the family's 1533-position model. The record is from RNAcentral.
AUGAACGCUGGCGGCGUGCCUAAUACCUGUAAGUCGAGCGAACAGAUGAGGAGCUUGCUCCUCUGACGUUAGCGGCGGACGGGUGAGUAACACGUGGAUAACCUACCUAUAGGACUGGGAUAACUUCGGGAAACCGGAGCUAAUACCGGAUAAUAUAUUGAACCGCAUGGUUCAAUAGUGAAAGACGGUUUUGCUGUCACUUAUAGAUGGAUCCGCGCCGCAUUAGCUAGUUGGUAAGGUAACGGCUUACCAAGGCAACGAUGCGUAGCCGACCUGAGAGGGUGAUCGGCCACACUGGAACUGAGACACGGUCCAGACUCCUACGGGAGGCAGCAGUAGGGAAUCUUCCGCAAUGGGCGAAAGCCUGACGGAGCAACGCCGCGUGAGUGAUGAAGGUCUUCGGAUCGUAAAACUCUGUUAUUAGGGAAGAACAAAUGUGUAAGUAACUAUGCACGUCUUGACGGUACCUAAUCAGAAAGCCACGGCUAACUACGUG